GACAGAGGGUGCAAACGUUGUUCGGAAUUACUGGGCGUAAAGCGCGUGUAGGCGGCCCGGCAAGUCGGAUGUGAAAGCCCUGGGCUUAACCCAGGAAGUGCAUUCGAAACUCCCGGGCUUGAGUUCUGGAGAGGAAGGCGGAAUUCUCGGUGUAGAGGUGAAAUUCGUAGAUAUCGAGAGGAACACCGGUGGCGAAGGCGGCCUUCUGGACAGUGACUGACGCUGAGACGCGAAAGCGUGGGUAGCAAACAGG
RNAcentral lists this ribosomal RNA (253 nucleotides) under uncultured bacterium. RNAcentral's name for it is "partial 16S ribosomal RNA". It matches the Rfam family "Bacterial small subunit ribosomal RNA", at positions 524 to 776 of the family's 1533-position model. The record is from RNAcentral.